RNAcentral lists this ribosomal RNA (491 nucleotides) under uncultured bacterium. RNAcentral describes it as "partial 16S ribosomal RNA". It matches the Rfam family "Bacterial small subunit ribosomal RNA", at positions 28 to 506 of the family's 1533-position model. The record is from RNAcentral.
AUUGAACGCUGGCGGCAUGCUUUACACAUGCAAGUCGAACGGUAACAGGCCUUCGGGUGCUGACGAGUGGCGAACGGGUGAGUAAUGCAUCGGAACGUACCCAGAGGUGGGGGAUAACGCAGCGAAAGCUGUGCUAAUACCGCAUGUGAUCUGAGGAUGAAAGCGGGGGACCGAGCAGCAAUGUUUGGCCUCGCGCCUUUGGAGCGGCCGAUGUCGGAUUAGCUAGUUGGUGGGGUAAAGGCCUACCAAGGCGACGAUCCGUAGCUGGUCUGAGAGGACGACCGGCCCACCUGGGGCUGGGACCCGGCCCCGCCUCCUCCGGGGGGCAGGGGUGGGGAAUUUUGGGCAAGGGGCGAAAGCCUGACCCAGCAAUGCCGCGUGCGGGAAGAAGGCCUUCGGGUUGUAAACCGUUUUUGGGAGGAACGAAACGGUGUCCGCUAAUACCGGGCGCUAAUGGCGGUACCUGCAGAAUAAGCACCGGCUAACUCCGU